CACGAAUCUCAAGGGAGAGAAUCACCAGAGCCAAGGGACACAAAUGUCAAAGCAGGGAACCAACAGAGCUAUGUGGCACCAAUCUCAAUGGAGAGAACCACCGGAGCUCUUCUCCACCUUUGUUCUAUCCUGAACUCGCCAUCACCACCUCUCGUCCUCUUCCUCGGCAGAAAAGAAAAGAUGGAGGCCUUCCUCGCCGGCUUCCGGGCGCCGCCUCGAGCUUCCGCCGUACCCACCGCCCGGAGCCCGCCUCCCAGCCCCUUUUUUCUCGGCACACGGCGCAGGAAGCCCUCCUCCUCUGCCUCCGUGGUCUGCAUGGCGGAGCCACAUCUCAUAUCAAAGUUGGAUUCUACAGAGAGGGCAUGGAAAGAAAUGUCGAUUAGAUUGGGUGACCCUGACAUUGUCUCAGAUCCGAGCGAAUACCAAAAACUUGCACAGUCUGUUUCCGAUCUGGGAGAGGUUGUGACGGCAUAUAGGGAAUUUAAGGAAUGUGAACGGCAGAUUGAAGAAACAAAAGCUUUGCAAAAAGAGAAUGGUGAUGACCCUGAUAUGGCUGAGAUGAUAACUUCAGAGCUAGAGUCUCUCUCUGAUCAGCUUGCGGAGCUCGAGGAAAGACUGACGGUACUUCUGCUUCCAAGCGACCCUCUAAAUUCACGUAACAUCUUACUUGAAGUAAGAGCUGGCACUGGAGGUGAUGAAGCUGGAAUUUGGGCUGGUGACCUUGUAGGUACGCAUGUAUCAAAGAUAUUGUGAGCUCAACAAUUGGAAGUUUAAACCAGUUUCUUGCUCAGAAGCAGAAAAGGGUGGAUACAAGACAUUUGUGAUGGAGGUGAAGGGAAAGCAAGUCUACAGUAAACUGAAGUUUGAGUCAGGUGUGCACCGUGUUCAGCGUGUACCACAGACAGAGACUAUGGGUCGUGUUCACACGUCAACCGCAACUGUGGCUAUUAUGCCAGAGGCCGACGAAGUGGACGUGGUUAUCGAUCCAAAAGAUAUUGAACUUAAAGCUGCAAGAUCUGGUGGAGCUGGAGAUAUACCACUUCUGGAGGCAGAAUGUUAACAAGGUGGAGACGGCUAUUGAUCUUAUUCACAAGCCUACGGGAAUAAGGAUAUUCUGCACAGAAGAAAGGUCACAACUUCAAAACAAAGAACGCGCAUUCCAGUUAUUAAGAGCAAAACUAUAUGAGAUAAAGUUAAGGGAGCAACAAGAGUCCAUAAGAACCCAGAGGUUACUGCAGGUCGGUACUGGUGCUCGCUCGGACAAGAUACGGACGUACAAUUAUAAGGACAACAGAGUGACUGAUCAUCGGUUGAAGAUGAAUUUUGUAUUGUCUAGCUUCCUUUUAGGAGAUAUUGAGUCAGCUGUUCAGUCCUGCGCUGCAUUGGAGCAGAAGGAACUCUUGGAGGAAAUGGCCACUUCUUCUGCAGUGAAGGCAUGAUCAGUUUAACUAUUCCUUUUGCUUCUGGCCAUAUCCUAAAGGAGAACAGAUCCAAUGGCAUCUUACAGUCGAUGGAGAUCGUCGACCAAGAUGUACAUGAAAAAACUCGAGAGUCGCGAAUCAUAUUCCUUGCAUGCACACACUGUUUUGUUUGCUCAUGGUCAUUUUGCAUAUACACUAGUGUCUGUAGACAAUUUGAUGCACUCCAGUUGCCCUGAUGGGAGCAGAUUUUGAGUAGCUGAAAUCGACAUUUUUUUACAACAAAGCGGUGACGCUGGUUGAAAAUAUACAUAAAAGUUCUGUGUGGUUGAAGUCCUGAAGAGUGGUGAUGUGUCUGCGUGGAAUCUGUGCACCAG
This 1795-nucleotide ribosomal RNA is filed under the name Triticum aestivum (bread wheat). RNAcentral's name for it is "partial small subunit ribosomal RNA". The record is from RNAcentral. Lineage: Eukaryota; Viridiplantae; Streptophyta; Magnoliopsida; Poales; Poaceae.